Molecule: ribosomal RNA, 501 nt
Filed under: uncultured bacterium
Lineage: Bacteria
Description: bacterial SSU rRNA
Rfam family: Bacterial small subunit ribosomal RNA
Source: RNAcentral
AGUAGUUGAUCAGUGGCACGAGGACGACGCUGGCGGCGUGCUUAACACAUGCAAGUCGAGCGAGACCCCUCCUCGGGAGGGUGUCUAGCGGCGAACGGGUGAGGUAACACGUGGGCAACCUGCCCUCAGCUCUGGGAUAACUCCAAGAAAUUGGGGCUAAUACCGGAUAUGACCGCUGACCGCAUGGGUCUGGUGGUGGAAAGAUUUAUCGGCUGGGGAUGGGGCCCGCGGCCUAUCAGCUUGUUGGUGGGGUAGUGGCCUACCAAGGCGACGACGGGUAGCCGGCCUGAGAGGGUGACCGGCCACACUGGGACUGAGACACGGCCCAGACUCCUACGGGAGGCAGCAGGGGGGAAUAUUGCGCAAUGGGCGGAAGCCUGACGCAAGCGACGCCGCGUGGGGGAUGACGGCCUUCGGGUUGUAAACCUCUUUCAGCAGGGACGAAGCGAAAGUGACGGUACCUGCAGAAGAAGCACCGGCCAACUACGUGCCAGCAGCGGC